AGUCACUGACAUUAGAUACCCGGGUAGUCCCAGCCGUAAACAAUGUGCGUUAGGUGUGUCGGUAACCACGCGUUACUGAUGCGCCGAAGAGAAAUCGUGAAACGCACCACCUGGGAAGUACGGUCGCAGGGCUGAAACUUAAAGGAAUUGGCGGGGAGCACCACAACAGGUGGAGCCUGCGGUUUAAUUGGAUUCAACGCCGGACAUCUCACCGGAUAAGACAGCUGAAUGAUUGUCAAUCUGAAGGUUUUACAUGACUAGCUG
This 264-nucleotide ribosomal RNA is filed under the name uncultured archaeon. RNAcentral's name for it is "partial 16S ribosomal RNA". It matches the Rfam family "Archaeal small subunit ribosomal RNA", at positions 719 to 982 of the family's 1478-position model. The record is from RNAcentral.